CUUCGGUUUUGUGGACAGUGGCGAACGGGUGCGUAACACGUGAGCAACCUGCCCUUGAGUAUAGAAUAGCUCGCCGAAAGGCGAAUUAAUACUGUAUGUGACCCUUUACCGCAUGGUAAAGUGGUUAAAGCUUGUAAUGGCGCUCAAGGAUGGGCUCGCGGCCUAUCAGCUUGUUGGUGAGGUAAAAGCUCACCAAGGCUAAGACGGGUAGCUGGUCUGAGAGGAUGAUCAGCCACACCGGGACUGAGACACGGCCCGGACACCUACGGGUGGCAGCAGUUUCGAAUCAUUCACAAUGGGCGAAAGCCUGAUGAUGCAAUGCCGCGUGGAGGAUGAAGGCCUUAGGGUCGUAAACUCCUGUCAUUAGGGAACAACAAAUAGGUUUAUAGCCUAUUCUGAGUUAACCUAAAGAGGAAGAGGUGGCUAACUCCGUGCCAGCAGCCGCGGUAAUACGGAGACCUCGAGCGUUACUCGGAUUUACUGGGCGUAAAGGGUGAGCAGGCGGCCAAGUGUGUCAGGUGUGAAAUCCCGGGGCUUAACCCCGGAACUGCGCCUGAAACUACUUGGCUAGAGUCUCGGAGAGGACAGUGGAAUUCUAGGUGUAGCGGUGAAAUGCGUAGAUAUCUAGAGGAACACCAGUGGCGAAGGCGACUGUCUGGACGAGUACUGACGCUCAAUCACGAAAGCGUGGGUAGCGAAAGGGAUUAGAUACCCCUGUAGUCCACGCCGUAAACGUUGUGCACUAAGUUUCGGAGGAUUCGACCCCUUCGGAGCUCUAGCUAACGCG
Molecule: ribosomal RNA, 787 nt
Filed under: Verrucomicrobia bacterium SCGC AAA160-L23
Lineage: Bacteria; Pseudomonadati; Verrucomicrobiota
Description: bacterial SSU rRNA
Rfam family: Bacterial small subunit ribosomal RNA
Source: RNAcentral